GCUCCUAUACACUAACACCUUAGCAUCUCUUGGAGUUGGAUAUAAAAAAAUAUGGAAAGUAAUAGAAUACUUUAGCUACAAUUAGAAUCAAUCCAGCCAUGGGUGGAACCUGAAAUUUCAUUCGUUGAUCUUUACAUGACAAAGUAUUAUUCCUCUAUAUUUUGGUUGUUAGUUUACUUGAUCCUUCUCCAUCUGAUAAUUAAUUGAUUUUAUUUUUCUUGUGCAUUGUGAUGUUUCACGUGUUGUGGCUACACAGAUUUCAAGCCAUGAUGCCAGCUUCUUGUGCAAAGGGCCAACUUAUCCUAGAAUCAUCAACUUCUAGCCCCAAAAUUUUCAUUUGGGAAGCUUUUUGUGAAUCUUGUGGCAACAGUAAUAGAAUUGUAGACUAACAUCAGAAGUCAAGUAUGAUUCCCAUAGGAUACUGAAGCUUGCUCUGAUCAAGUUUGGCCUCAAUUGGUGUUCCAGCUACUUACCAGAGGUCCAAGGGCUAAUCUUUACAUGGAUUUGAGGAUGGCAAAAUUUGUUUUUUUCCUUAAGUCAUAUCUUAGAGAAUUAAGGGAUAGAGUUACCAAUGGAGACCUCUCGAAGUUGCAUGAGCCUCUGAUAUAAUAUGAUUAUUCAAAUUAUGAACCAAGUAUUAUGUCUUUAGGGAUAUUUGUCAACUUUUAUCAUUAAGUUGUUGGUUAUUCAGCCGAGCAGAGGAUUCAUGCAUGCAUUUCCAUUUCAUUCUUUGUUUCUUCUUCCUUAACAUUUCUUCCAGUUUGUACUGACAUUGCUCAAUUUGAGGAUAGAUAUCCACUCCAAACAAUGUAACAUGGACUCAUCUAAUAGUUACAUCUGUCUUCAAUAGACUACCUUUUGACAAGGGAAAUGAAAAAUUUCUAUUCUAGGACAA
Macadamia integrifolia is the source of this 895-nucleotide long non-coding RNA. RefSeq lists it as uncharacterized. The transcript has 3 exons. NCBI's taxonomy places the organism in Eukaryota, Viridiplantae, Streptophyta, Magnoliopsida, Proteales, Proteaceae. The record is from RefSeq and is a predicted model, not a curated record.